Molecule: ribosomal RNA, 342 nt
Filed under: uncultured bacterium
Lineage: Bacteria
Description: bacterial SSU rRNA
Rfam family: Bacterial small subunit ribosomal RNA
Source: RNAcentral
GGGGACGAAGGGCGAAGGGUUAAUAGCCCCUAGCUUGACGGUACCCGACGAGGAAGCCCCGGCUAACUACGUGCCAGCAGCCGCGGUAAUACGUAGGGGGCGAGCGUUGUCCGGAAUCAUUGGGCGUAAAGAGCGUGUAGGCGGCUCGGUAAGUCCGCUGUGAAAACCCGGGGCUCAACCCCGGGCGUGCAGUGGAUACUGCCGGGCUAGAGGACGGCAGAGGCGAGUGGAAUUCCCGGUGUAGCGGUGAAAUGCGCAGAUAUCGGGAGGAACACCAGUAGCGAAGGCGGCUCGCUGGGCCGUUCCUGACGCUGAGACGCGAAAGCUAGGGGAGCGAACAGG